RNAcentral lists this ribosomal RNA (1493 nucleotides) under Erotelis cf. armiger NMBE 1066560. Its description in RNAcentral is "partial 16S ribosomal RNA". It matches the Rfam family "Bacterial large subunit ribosomal RNA", at positions 22 to 2574 of the family's 2925-position model. Lineage: Eukaryota; Metazoa; Chordata; Actinopteri; Gobiiformes; Eleotridae. The record is from RNAcentral.
CACCUAACAGCUAGCCCACCCACCCCACUAACAAGCCAACAUUAAUACCCACCGCCAUCACCCAGCCAAAACCAACUAAACCAUUCUUCCCCCCUAGUACGGGCGACGGAAAAGGAAUUAGGAGCAAUAAAGAAGUACCGCAAGGGAAAGCUGAAAAAGAAAAUGAAAUAACCCAGUAAAGUACGAAAAAGCAAAGCUCAAACCUUGUACCUUUUGCAUCAUGGACUAGCCAGAAGCAUUUAAGCAAAAAGAAUUUUAGUUUAAACCCCCGAAACUAGGUGAGCUACUCCAAGACAGCCUAUUAUCAGGGCACACCCAUCUCUGUGGCAAAAGAGUGGGAAGAGCUUUGAGUAGAGGUGAUAAGCCUACCGAACCUAGUUAUAGCUGGUUGCCUAAAAAUUGAAUAAAAGUUCAGCCCUUUACCUUUUCAAGCCCAACCUGAGCACAUCUAACCCAGGCCGCAAGAAGGCUAAAGAAGUUAAUCAAAAGGGGUACAGCCCUCUUGAUAAAAGACACAACUUUAAAUAGCAGGCAAAAGAUCAAAAGACAUCAAGGAAACUUAUUCGAGUGGGCCUAAAAGCAGCCACCUCCACGGAAAGCGUUAAAGCUCAAAUACCACCCCUCCCCUUAUCCCCACGACUAUAUCUUAAACCUCUUAACCUAUUAGGCCUCCCUAUGCGAACAUAGGAGAGAACAUGCUAGCAUGAGUAAUAAGAGGGACCGACCCUCUCCAAGCACCAGUGUACAUCAGAACGAACCCCCACUGAAAAUUAACGCCCCCAACACAAGAGGGUAUUGAAUAACGCACCCGCAAACCCAGAAACCCAUUCAACAACUACUGAACGUUAACCCCACACAGGAGUGCCCCAGGAAAGACUAAAAGAAAAAGAAGGAACUCGGCAAACACAGCCUCGCCUGUUUACCAAAAACAUCGCCUCUUGAACCCCACACUAUAAGAGGUCCCGCCUGCCCUGUGACUAUAAGUUUAACGGCCGCGGUAUUCUGACCGUGCGAAGGUAGCGCAAUCACUCGUCUUUUAAAUGGAGACCUGUAUGAAAGGCACAACGAGGGCUAAGCUGUCUCCUUUCUCCAGUCAAUGAAAUUGAUCUGCCCGUGCAGAAGCGAGCAUGUUAACAUAAGACGAGAAGACCCUAUGGAGCUUUAGACGCAGAACAGACACACUAAUAACAGUCCUACAAAAUGACUUUGAACUACAGUACCCACUUCUGUUCCCUUGUCUUCGGUUGGGGCGACCGCGGGGAACCAAAAAUCCCCCAUGUGGAAUGAGAACAUCCACCCUAAAACUAGGAAUACCCCCCUAAUAAACAGAACAACUCUGACCAAUAACUGACCCGGCCUACAGGCCGAUCAACGGACCCAGUUACCCUAGGGAUAACAGCGCAAUCCUCUUUUAGAGCCCAUAUCGACAAGAGGGUUUACGACCUCGAUGUUGGAUCAGGACAUCCUAAUGGUGCAGCCGCUAUUAAGGGUUC